UGCAACAUACAGAAGAGGCAAGUCGUAACAGAUGUCAACGGCCGCGGUAUCCUAACCGUGCGAAGGUAGCGUAAUCACUUGUUCUCUAAAUCAGGACUAGUAUGAACGGCACCACGAGGGUUACACUGUCUCCUUUUUCCAAUUAGUGAACUUAAUUUUCCCGUGAAGAAGCGGGAAUAAAUCUAUAAGACGAGAAGACCCUAUGGAGCUUUAAACAAUCCAGCAUUUGCAAUCUUUCAUGAACUCUCUAGACCCUGCAUAAUGACUAGAAGUUUUAGGUUGGGGCGACCGCGGAGUAAAACCCACCCUCCAUUAUGUAGGAAUUGAUUCUUAACUAAGAAACACUCUAAGUAUUAACAUACUAACAUUUAUUGACCCAAUACAAUUGAUUAACGAACCAAGUUACCCUAGGGAUAACAGCGCAAUCCAUUUCAAGAGCCCCUAUCGCCAAAUGGGUUUACGACCUCGAUGUUGGAUCAGGAUAUCCCAGUGGUGUAGCCGCUAUCCUUUGUGAUAAUUUUUAUGGUUAUACCUAUUCUGAUUGGGGAUUCGGAA
RNAcentral lists this ribosomal RNA (555 nucleotides) under Amazophrynella sp. 1 RRR-2018. RNAcentral's name for it is "partial 16S ribosomal RNA". It matches the Rfam family "Bacterial large subunit ribosomal RNA", at positions 1893 to 2610 of the family's 2925-position model. Lineage: Eukaryota; Metazoa; Chordata; Amphibia; Anura; Bufonidae. The record is from RNAcentral.